GGAACAAUGUUUAGUGGGCCAUUUUUGGUAAGCAGAACUGGCGAUGCGGGAUGAACCGAAAGUUAAGUUAAAGUGUCGAAAUAUAAGCUAAUUUAGAUAUCAUAAAAGGUGUUGAUUUAUAUAGACAGCAGGACGGUGGUCAUGGAAGUCGAUAUCCGCUAAGAAGUGUGUAACAACUCACCAACCGAAUGAAUUAGCCCUGAAAAUGGAUGGCGCUUAAAACGUAUUACUUAUACUUUACCAUUAAAGUAAAUGCUAAACUUUAAUGAGUAGGAGGGCGUAUUGAUAAUUUAGAAGAUUGACAGUGAUGUUGAUUGGAAUUAUCUUUAGUGCAGAUCUUGGUGGUAGUAGCAAAUAUUCAAUAGAGAACAUUGAAGACUGAAGUGGAGAAAAGGUUUCACAUGAACAACACUUGGAUGUGAGUUAGUCGAUCCUAAACGGUGGGUUAACUCCAAAUACAUAGAUACUUGUAUCUUGUACCGUGAAAGGGGAAACAGGUUAAUAUUCCUGUACUAUAUCAAGGAG
Molecule: ribosomal RNA, 525 nt
Filed under: uncultured eukaryote
Lineage: Eukaryota
Description: eukaryotic LSU rRNA
Rfam family: Eukaryotic large subunit ribosomal RNA
Source: RNAcentral